This 481-nucleotide ribosomal RNA is filed under the name uncultured bacterium. Its description in RNAcentral is "SSU rRNA". It matches the Rfam family "Bacterial small subunit ribosomal RNA", at positions 26 to 523 of the family's 1533-position model. The record is from RNAcentral.
AGGACGAACGCUGGCGGCGUGCUUAACACAUGCAAGUCGAGCGGUAAGGCCCUUUCGGGGGUACACGAGCGGCGAACGGGUGAGUAACACGUGGGUGACCUGCCCUUAGCUCUGGGAUAAGCCUGGGAAACUGGGUCUAAUACCGGAUAUGACCUCGCGAUGCAUGUCGUGGGGUGGAAAGCCUUGUGCGGCUAGGGGAUGGGCCCGCGGCCUAUCAGCUUGUUGGUGGGGUGAUGGCCUACCAAGGCGACGACGGGUAGCCGGCCUGAGAGGGCGACCGGCCACACUGGGACUGAGACACGGCCCAGACUCCUACGGGAGGCAGCAGUGGGGAAUCUUGCGCAAUGGGCGAAAGCCUGACGCAGCGACGCCGCGUGAGGGAUGACGGCCUCGGUUGUAACCUCUUUCAGCCCUGACGAAGCGAAAGUGACGGUAGGGCAGAAGAAGCGACCGGCCAACUACGCGCCAGCAGCCGCGGUAA